This 877-nucleotide long non-coding RNA is filed under the name Elaeis guineensis (African oil palm). RNAcentral's name for it is "long non-coding RNA (EGUI_LNC038112)". The record is from RNAcentral. Lineage: Eukaryota; Viridiplantae; Streptophyta; Magnoliopsida; Arecales; Arecaceae.
UCUCCUUUCUCUUUCUUCUUCUCUUUAAGCAUACUAGUUGAUAACCUUUAUAGGUAAGGCACAUGGUACAGUAAGUACCAUCCUGACCAUGGAAGGCAGAACCAUCUUGAACUGGGUGGCAGAUCGGGAUGGUUCCAUUACCAAAUUUGCAAUGCUGGUAGUAGGGAGAAAGAAAGAGAGGAAAAGAGAGAGAGGGAGAAGGGAAGGAGAUGGAGAGGGAGAGAGACCCUCUAGAGGUCGUCGGAGGGCCUCUGCACCCAUUGGAAGGCCGGCAACAAGGAUACGUGGGAGAAGGAAGAGAAGGAAAAGAGAGAGAUGGAGAGGGAAGGAGAUCCUCCGGAGGCCCACUAGAGGCCGUUAGAGGCUCGCCGAGGAAGAUGGAGGCCGAUCGAAAUGGGGCAAAAGCCCCUGAUUCAUUUUUUUCUUUUUUUUUUUUAGGAGGGAUAUCAGGUGAAGUUGGCAAUGAUGUUGCCCCGUUGCCGACUUCACCUAAUAACUCUUUUUUUUUCAUUUUGCUGACCCAUAAUGAAGUUGGUAAUGUUGCCAACUUUACUUGAGUGAAGGAAGCAACAGGUUUGUGGACUUCAUUGUUAGAUGGUAGAAAAAAAUUAAGGAUUCGCGAUUGAAGGUGGAGCAAUUGCUCCUAUGUCAAUCGGCAGAGGUGGGGAGAUGGAUCCAAAGCUCUGCAACCCUCCGUCGGCCACCAUCAGCCUCUACCGGCAUCCCUGCUCUCUCCUUCUCCUUCCCUUUGUCUCUCUCCUUUACCCUCUCCCUCUCACCCCGCUUUCCUCUCUCGGUUUGGUUCUUCUUUGCUGUGUUAGUUUGGGCCUGGUAUGUAACAGUAGAAGGGUGUACCGAGCCAUACCGCUGGCCAACU